This 515-nucleotide ribosomal RNA is filed under the name uncultured bacterium. RNAcentral describes it as "bacterial SSU rRNA". It matches the Rfam family "Bacterial small subunit ribosomal RNA", at positions 8 to 518 of the family's 1533-position model. The record is from RNAcentral.
AGAGUUUGAUUCUGGCUCAGGACGAACGCUGGCGGCGUGCUUAACACAUGCAAGUCGAGCGAGGAUCUCACCGGAAGGCCUUCGGGCCGGAAGGUAAGAUCGAGCGGCGGACGGGUGAGUAACGCGUGAGCGAUCUGUCCCGCACAGGGGGAUAACACUUGGAAACAGGUGCUAAUACCGCAUAAGACCACGAGGCCGCAUGGCCAUGGGGGUAAAAGGAGCGAUCCGGUGCAGGGUGAGCUCGCGUCCGAUUAGCUAGUUGGUGAGGUAACGGCCCACCAAGGCGACGAUCGGUAGCCGACCUGAGAGGGUGAUCGGCCACAUUGGAACUGAGACACGGUCCAAACUCCUACGGGAGGCAGCAGUGGGGAAUAUUGGGCAAUUGGGCGAAAGCCUGACCCAGCAACGCCGCGUGAGUGAAGAAGGUUUUCGGAUUGUAAAGCUCUAUCCUCGGGGACGAAGGAAGUGACGGUACCCGGGAAGGAAGCCCCGGCUAACUACGUGCCAGCCGCGGC